AUGGGAACGCGAAGAACCUUACCUACUCUUGACAUCCAGAGAACUUAGCAGAGAUGCUUUGGUGCCUUCGGGAACUCUGAGACAGGUGCUGCAUGGCUGUCGUCAGCUCGUGUUGUGAAAUGUUGGGUUAAGUCCCGCAACGAGCGCAACCCUUAUCCUUUGUUGCCAGCGGUUAGGCCGGGAACUCAAAGGAGACUGCCAGUGAUAAACUGGAGGAAGGUGGGGAUGACGUCAAGUCAUCAUGGCCCUUACGAGUAGGGCUACACACGUGCUACAAUGGCGCAUACAAAGAGAAGCGACCUCGCGAGAGCAAGCGGACCUCAUAAAGUGCGUCGUAGUCCGGAUUGGAGUCUGCAACUCGACUCCAUGAAGUCGGAAUCGCUAGUAAUCGUAGAUCAGAAUGCUACGGUGAAUACGUUCCCGGGUCUUGUACACACCG
Molecule: ribosomal RNA, 439 nt
Filed under: uncultured bacterium
Lineage: Bacteria
Description: bacterial SSU rRNA
Rfam family: Bacterial small subunit ribosomal RNA
Source: RNAcentral